AAGAUAAUCAUGGUCAUAGUUGAUUUUUAUCAAAUAACCCAUUCUCCCACAACUUCAGUAACUGCCGCCGCUUCUCUUGAAAAAGUGCAGGCGCUUCUCACCCGGCGAGUAAAACCACUACCAUCUUUCUCUCUCUGCUCACCCGAUGCCCAUCAGCCAUAGAGCAACUUUUCCAUCUAAUUUCAUCAUUCACAAUUUCGAGUUGCGUGACUUACCGACGACCAUCGUCCUGCAGCGAUAUUUGACGGCCGCCAUUAGAUAGAACAACCACCAAUUUCUCCCCUUUCUCAGCCAAUUGAAAUAGAAACAACAUUGUCAUCUCCUAUUUCUUUUAUAUUUUGUCUUUUGCUCCCAAUCCAAUUCAUUUAAUGGUGCUCUUUUUCAACUCUACCGCACCACAAAUUUCACGUGCUAUGCUCCACUGCGCUGCGCUCCUGCAUCAUCAACAUUGAAUUUUUCCAAGAAGAAGCAUUGGAAGGUCGGUGAAUACCCAGCUGAAAUACAAAACUCCACUAUGCAGAUAUUGAAAAGGAGAAGUCCUGUCAAAAACAUGAAGAAAAAAUUGGACAAUCGACUCGCGGUUUCCAGCAAAUUGAAUGAGGGAAAGUUCGGGCUCACAUCAGGGAUUGUAAAUUUGAUGACAAAAGAUGCAGAAAUUUUGAGGCUCCUCAAGAAACUGAAAGUGCAAGCGGUUGAAAUUAACAAGGAUGAAAGUGGUACAGUUAUGGAUCUUUUUUCUUUUCUCUUUUUUUGAAAUUUAAUAUAGUGGGAGUAGCAUUGCCGAUAGGAGUGGUGUUAUUCUAUAUUUGAGAAAAAAUGGAACUGUUGUUUUGUUAUUGAAACUCUUCUAUUUAGGCCUCGACAAGUUCUUUAAUGUUUGGUUACAUUACCAAUAUAUGUGGAUUAUAUUUUGAAUACUGGAAUAGAGAAGCAUGUAUGGAAUGAUUUUUUUGGAAUAGUACAUGUAAUUUAGAGCAUAUGAGUAUAUGUUAUGAUGUUAUUGGGAUAUGAUUAUUAUUUUAUGGUUUGCACUUUUUCCCAAUUGUUAUUGAUAUUAUUAUUCAUAUUGUCAAUAUGAUUUUGUGUAUUUCUUGUGGUAUGUUAUUCUAGAUUUGGAUAUAAAGUUAUAGUUUUGGAGCAAAUAAGGAGGCGGAGCGAUUGGGGCAGAGGUUGGCUGUCUGUGGCAAAUAGCAAUUGCCCAAAAGAGAGAUUUUUUAUAAAGAAAAUAUUGAUGCGGCAGUGAAGUGGAACUCUAGAGAGACACCUUUUCCAGCACAAGGUAGAAGAAACUAAAAUGUAAACUAUGAUAAAUCUCUAAUAAUUAAGUCAUGAAUUUUAAUCGUCUAGCUGUUUAAUUUUGGUUGGGUGCACAUUAUUCUAAAAGUAAAAGAUCAUGAUGGGAAUUGAGUGUUUUUUAGGAUUAAGAGAAGCAUAUAACUAAAGAAGCGCAUGAAUCUUUUAUGUAACCCUCAAUUAGUUGAUUUGAACUCAAACAAUUGUUUCAGUAAAUUAGUUAAAACAUGUCUCUAGAAAACGAGUUGAUAAGUGAAGUUAGUUUCUUAUAAUUUUUUGUUCCUUGCAAUUUAUAAGUGAAGUUCUUGCAAGAACAUGAGGGAAUAUAUCUAUGUUUAUCCUUUUGAUUUUGUUGUUUCUCUAAAAUGUCAGUAUGAUAGAAUGAGAACAUAUAUUAGAAAGUGUUGUAUGUAGGCACAUUGUUUAUGUGGCUAAACUGAUGUGUUAUAUAAUUUUGUAUCGAGCAAUAUCUUCAAGUUAUGACAUAAUUUAUUUUAGUGCACAUCCUACAAGAAAAUGAAUAUCAGGUUUAGGAUCUAAGCUAUUUGAAAAUAAUGGCUUGAAAAGGCUUAGGAUCUAAGCUUUCAAAUGUAUUGACGAUCAAUCCAACUGAAUUGGGUAUAUUGAUAGAGAAAUUAAGGAAAUUUUGGUAAUCUGAGGAAGCUGAGCAUGGGCCUUAACAUGUCGGAAGAGGGGAUGGGAGGAACGUCGGGAUUGGGAGCAUGGGUAAGGUCAUUCAUGUCUUUGAAGCUUUUGGUGGUGCUUCUAUGGAUAAAGGGGAAGUGAAGAAAAAAUAUGAGAAUGUAAGCUCCGGAGGUGACGAAGUAAUAAGUAGGGAUACGGAGUUGGGCGGCGAUGGAAAGGGACUCGCUGCAGAAGAAGUCGAUGAUGGAGGUGGAGACAGUAGAGAUGGAGUCCAGGGCGCGCCAAAAGCUCGGGGUUGCUGCGGUGGAGGACCUCAAAGAUGACGACCUCCAUGGAGGGGGAAGGCGUAGAGGUCGAGGGACACAACGGGGAAGUGGUGGAACCGAUGUUGAAGAAGGGCGGUGCCACCAGGACAGUGAUGAAUAGGGAGGGAUGGUGGUGGAUGAUGAAUUUCUCAAGCUCCACCAUGGACGCCAGGUGGCCCAUUCCUGAAGAUAGCACGAAAGUGACGUCUUCACCAAAGUAAUUAUUACUAUUGCUUUGCAACUUGCACCACGAUUAGAUGGUAGCUCUAUCUAUUCUUUUUCUUUUCUUUCUUUGAAGUUAUGUUAUCUUCAAAAUGAUUUUUGGAAUUUUGAAGUCUAGAAAUUAAAGAAAAUAGAUUAGAAGAUGUAGAGCGAUAUGAAGAAGUAUUUGGAAGAAGCAGAAGAGCUAAGAAGAAAAGCACCAUUUGGGAGAAGAAGCGUAGGAGCGAAGAAGUAGAAGACCAAAAAAGAAAAAGAAAGUUGCGUUAAUACUAAUAUGGAUUCUUAAAUACUAUUGAGCUAAUCAGUUUGGACCAUGAAAUGAAAUAAUUUUAUAUGUUU
Salvia miltiorrhiza (redroot sage) is the source of this 2804-nucleotide long non-coding RNA. RefSeq lists it as uncharacterized. The transcript has 3 exons. Lineage: Eukaryota; Viridiplantae; Streptophyta; Magnoliopsida; Lamiales; Lamiaceae. The record is from RefSeq and is a predicted model, not a curated record.